GGGAAAAAUGCUCCCUUGGUAAGAAAAUGAAAUUAAUAAGGCAUAAUAUAUUUAGACUCUGGGCAAGUCUCAGUGAUAGAACUUACUCAUGAAGUGAAUUUUAUUCAUGAGCUUCAGAAAAGAAAUUGAAGGUUUAAUUUCUAUCUUUUCCUUAAAGGUGGAUGGAUAUAUCUUUGGAAGCUUUUCCUAUCUUUAAGAUAUACUGCUUUAGAAGAUUUGUCUUUGACAAAUCAUGAUUCUGAUGGCUCACAGAAGACUUAGUAAAAGUGUAAACUGAUGUAUGCAACAUUUUUUUCAAAACCAGCAAGAAGUAAGGGAAUAUACCAGUGACUGCCUCAUCAAGGAAAUAGGUAAACAACACCCAGCAGAACAGAAAAUGAGGGAUGGUGGACAUGAAGGAAGAAAUUCAGCCACACAGGGGAAGCUUGAUUACCAAAACAACCAUGUUUGAGGCAAUGCUUGGCUCUGGAGCUCCAAUGUGGCCCUAACAACACAGAAGUAGAACCAUGAAGAUACACAAGAUUAGGGCUUUUCUUGGGCUUCAGAUCAUCAUCCAGAAAGUCUUUUUUUGGAGAUCAAAGGUAUUUAUCACCAAGUAAACUUUUAAGGACCUGGCUCCAAACAUCAUGAGGGGGAUGGACACAAGACUACACCAUCACAGAAAUGGCAACCAAGUGAUGUCACAGAUCCAAGUGGUUACAUGUGGAAUACGUAGCAGAGAAGACCCCUCAGGGACUAAUAUGGGAAUCCAAUGGUCAGUACUUUAACAUUAAAGCCUGGGACAAAGAUAAGAACUAAGCCUUGGAGGGAUACUGAUAGAAGGGUGUGGGAUGUAGACAGAUACAGUUUAAAUAUAGUUAGAUGCUCAACCUGCAUCUGAGUGUGUUUACAGUGCUCACUUCACAUUAGGCAAAUGAACAAAGGAGAAGGAAAUCCUCUACCCAACCUGGGAGGAAAUGACCACAUUUGGUCUGCAUCCUUCAGUAACCUUAGCUUAGAAAAUGGAAUCACAGCAUGUCCCUCUAUAAGCUGCAGGAGUUUUUCAUUGAAUCUGGGGACCAAUCACAACUGCAGGUAAAAUGUUUCUUGGCCAUGUUUGCUUUCCUUGGUGCAUAAUGGCUCUCAGAAAGCUCAUGGAAAGGAGGGAGCAGUUAGAUCACACUAGGAUUCAGACAUUCCUUGCUCUCUUCAUCAAAAUGUCAUCACUAGACUUGUCCUGAUUACCAUUUCAACUGUAAAACUUAUUGUGGAGGAGGGAUGAGGGGGGUAGCAUCCUUUGCAGCAUUUCCUGGCAUGAGAGAAAAGGGAAUGAGAGGACUCACUAAUUAUGCUUUCAAAGUUAAACCCUAGAACACUGAAAUUGAAAACUGACCCUAAAGGGUGACUCUCUCUCUUCCAUGCAGGUGGACUCCUACUGAGAGGUAGGGCAGAGUGACAAACAUGGCAGAUUGGAGGUGCAUGGGGCAGAGACCUUGCCAAUCCUGUUCAAUUCUAUCGCAAGAACCAAAUUCAGAUCCUGACACAUGGGAGGCCCAUAAUG
This 1540-nucleotide long non-coding RNA is filed under the name Canis lupus familiaris (dog). RNAcentral's name for it is "lncRNA (ENSCAFG00030022421.1)". The record is from RNAcentral. Lineage: Eukaryota; Metazoa; Chordata; Mammalia; Carnivora; Canidae.